GAGUUGUAGCUCAGUGGUAGAGCACUUGCCUAGUGCACAUGAGGCCUUGGGUUCAAUCCCCAGCAUCCA
This 69-nucleotide transfer RNA is filed under the name Marmota monax (woodchuck). RNAcentral's name for it is "tRNA.Thr". The stretch from base 5 to 65 matches the Rfam family "tRNA", at positions 6 to 65 of the family's 71-position model. From Rfam's summary of the family: Transfer RNA (tRNA) molecules are approximately 80 nucleotides in length. Their secondary structure includes four short double-helical elements and three loops (D, anti-codon, and T loops). The record is from RNAcentral. Lineage: Eukaryota; Metazoa; Chordata; Mammalia; Rodentia; Sciuridae.